This 252-nucleotide ribosomal RNA is filed under the name uncultured bacterium. RNAcentral describes it as "partial small subunit ribosomal RNA". It matches the Rfam family "Bacterial small subunit ribosomal RNA", at positions 26 to 285 of the family's 1533-position model. The record is from RNAcentral.
AGGACGAACGCUGGCGGCGUGCUUAACACAUGCAAGUCGAGCGGAAAGGCCCUUCGGGGUACUCGAGCGGCGAACGGGUGAGUAACACAUGAGUAAUCUGCCCCUAGCUCUGGGAUAGCUCCGGGAAACCGGGAUUAAUACCGGAUACGACCACCUUAGACAUCUUUGUGGUGGAAAGGAUUUCGGCUAGGGAUGAGCUCGCGGCCUAUCAGCUUGUUGGUGGGGUAACGCCUACCAAGGCGACGACGGGUA